GAUGAACGCUGGCGGCGUGCCUAAUACAUGCAAGUCGAGCGAACAGAUGAGGAGCUUGCUCCUCUGGCGUUAGCGGCGGACGGGUGAGUAACACGUGGAUAACCUACCUAUAAGACUGGGAUAACUUCGGGAAACCGGAGCUAAUACCGGAUAAUAUAUUGAACCGCAUGGUUCAAUAGUGAAAGACGGUUUUGCUGUCACUUAUAGAUGGAUCCGCGCCGCAUUAGCUAGUUGGUAAGGUAACGGCUUACCAAGGCAACGAUGCGUAGCCGACCUGAGAGGGUGAUCGGCCACAUUGGAACUGAGACACGGUCCAGACUCCUACGGGAGGCAGCAGUAGGGAAUCUUCCGCAAUGGGCGAAAGCCUGACGGAGCAACGCCGCGUGAGUGAUGAAGGUCUUCGGAUCGUAAAACUCUGUUAUUAGGGAAGAACAAAUGUGUAAGUAACUAUGCACGUCUUGACGGUACCUAAUCAGAAAGCCACGGCUAACUACGUG
Molecule: ribosomal RNA, 497 nt
Filed under: uncultured bacterium
Lineage: Bacteria
Description: partial 16S ribosomal RNA
Rfam family: Bacterial small subunit ribosomal RNA
Source: RNAcentral